AUGAGUAUGGUGUAUAUUAACACCUUAACUUUUCAUGUUAAAAUUAUAGAGCCCUAUUACUCAU
RNAcentral lists this transfer RNA (64 nucleotides) under Pontoscolex corethrurus. RNAcentral's name for it is "tRNA-Glu". The record is from RNAcentral. Lineage: Eukaryota; Metazoa; Annelida; Clitellata; Crassiclitellata; Glossoscolecidae.